AACGUAGGGUGCGAGCGUUAAUCGGAAUUACUGGGCGUAAAGCGUGCGCAGGCGGUGAUGUAAGACAGAUGUGAAAUCCCCGGGCUCAACCUGGGACCUGCAUUUGUGACUGCAUCGCUAGAGUACGGCAGAGGGGGAUGGAAUUCCGCGUGUAGCAGUGAAAUGCGUAGAUAUGCGGAGGAACACCGAUGGCGAAGGCGAUCCCCUGGGCCUGUACUGACGCUCAUGCACGAAAGCGUGGGGAGCAAACAGG
Molecule: ribosomal RNA, 253 nt
Filed under: uncultured bacterium
Lineage: Bacteria
Description: partial 16S ribosomal RNA
Rfam family: Bacterial small subunit ribosomal RNA
Source: RNAcentral